Non-coding RNA from Trichobilharzia regenti, 45 nucleotides. The record is from Rfam. Lineage: Eukaryota; Metazoa; Platyhelminthes; Trematoda; Strigeidida; Schistosomatidae.
AUCCAUCUGACGAGUCCCAAACAAGACAAAAUGCGCAUCUUGGAU